ACGUACACUCCUGCGGGAGGCAGCAGUGGGGAAUAUUGCACAAUGGGCGCAAGCCUGAUGCAGCCAUGCCGCGUGUAUGAAGAAGGCCUUCGGGUUGUAAAGUACUUUCAGCGGGGAGGAAGGCGAUAAGGUUAAUAACCUUGUCGAUUGACGUUACCCGCAGAAGAAGCACCGGCUAACUCCGUGCCAGCAGCCGCGGUAAUACGGAGGGUGCAAGCGUUAAUCGGAAUUACUGGGCGUAAAGCGCACGCAGGCGGUCUGUCAAGUCGGAUGUGAAAUCCCCGGGCUCAACCUGGGAACUGCAUUCGAAACUGGCAGGCUAGAGUCUUGUAGAGGGAGGUAGAAUUCCAGGUGUAGCGGUGAAAUGCGUAGAGAUCUGGAGGAAUACCGGUGGCGAAGGCGGCCCCCUGGACAAAGACUGACGCUCAGGUGCGAAAGCGUGGGGAGCAAACAGGAUUAGAAACCCCAGUAGUCCCAUGAU
RNAcentral lists this ribosomal RNA (481 nucleotides) under uncultured organism. Its description in RNAcentral is "partial 16S ribosomal RNA". It matches the Rfam family "Bacterial small subunit ribosomal RNA", at positions 329 to 801 of the family's 1533-position model. The record is from RNAcentral.